CAAGGCUGCAGUUGCAGCUGACUUCCCAAGGCUGCAAGACGUGGUGGUGACACAGCCUUGUGCUUCUGCAUUGGUGCUCAUCCCACGUUUCCUUUCUCUGUCUCGCAGGUCAGCUCCUGCUGGAAGCAGAUGGUAUCCCAGUGUGAAUGAAGGUCAGUGCAGGAGCAGCUGCUGAUGGGAGGAAGGAAGUCCAUGCUGAAGAGCUCUGAAGCAUCGGCAGUUCUGUGGUCUCCAAGAGUGGAGCUGUCACUUCUGAUCCCUCAGCCCCAGUUAUGCACAACAGCCACAUCCAGAUACACGUCUGGUACCUCUGAACUAGCUAAUGCUGUAGGAUGGAAUGUUGUUUCUGCACUGGCUAUCAAAUGUGGGAUUGCUCUGAAGCAGUACAGCACCAUGUGUUUAGUAAUUUGCCCUUAGAAACAGUUUGAAAAAGUAGAAAGACUUUAUUAGUAUUAGUAAAAAGAAGUUAUUUCAUAACAUAUUUGAGAAAUACAGUUGUUCAAUCACGUGAUCAAUUCUCACUUACAGAACUUUAAUAGUUACAAAUUGCAUGGGUUUAGUAUUAAGGACCAGAAAGCAUGUUGUAAGGCCAUUCUGUUUGGCUAGGAGAAGCUCAGCAAAAGAAAAACAGACUCCAAAGAAGCCAGGGCCUCCACACAAGGCCAGAGUGACUCACUCUGUGGGCAGGUUGGGAUGCAACAGGCAGGCAUCAAGAGACUCCCCUCUGUCCUCCUUCCAAACUUCUCUCUCUUCAGGGAUGAGCAGGUGUCCAGAAAUAGUGGCCAAGUGUUGAUAAGCAGCUGUCAGACGUUCAAUAAUUAGCAGUAUACCUGCUGAGCUAGCAACAAUUGGUGUUUAGCCAGUCACACACACACAC
Molecule: non-coding RNA, 877 nt
Organism: Phasianus colchicus (ring-necked pheasant)
Lineage: Eukaryota; Metazoa; Chordata; Aves; Galliformes; Phasianidae
Source: RefSeq, a predicted model, not a curated record